Molecule: ribosomal RNA, 254 nt
Filed under: uncultured bacterium
Lineage: Bacteria
Description: partial 16S ribosomal RNA
Rfam family: Bacterial small subunit ribosomal RNA
Source: RNAcentral
CUAAGUUUGAUGGCGACCGGCGCACGGGUGAGUAACACGUAUCCAACCUGCCGAUGACUCGGGGAUAGCCUUUCGAAAGAAAGAUUAAUACCCGAUGGCAUAGUUCUUCCGCAUGGUAGAACUAUUAAAGAAUUUCGGUCAUCGAUGGGGAUGCGUUCCAUUAGGUUGUUGGCGGGGUAACGGCCCACCAAGCCUUCGAUGGAUAGGGGUUCUGGGAGGAAGGUCCCCCACAUUGGAACUGAGACACGGUCCAA